RNAcentral lists this ribosomal RNA (1769 nucleotides) under human metagenome. RNAcentral describes it as "bacterial LSU rRNA". It matches the Rfam family "Bacterial large subunit ribosomal RNA", at positions 221 to 2081 of the family's 2925-position model. The record is from RNAcentral.
GAAAUCAACCGAGAUUCUGUGAGUAGUGGCGAGCGAAAGCGGAAGAGGCUAAACCGAGAGGAGCAAUCCUUUCGGGGUUUAGGACUGCAUUUAGUACAACGAUUGUUAACCGAACAGCAUGGGAAGGCUGAUCAAAGAAGGUGAGAAUCCUGUAGGUGAAAACGAAAGUUGACGAGCAGUAUCCAAAGUACCGCGGGGCACGUGAAAUCCCGUGGGAAGAUGGGGGGACCAUCCUCCAAGCCUAAAUACUACCUGAUGACCGAUAGCGAAAAGUACUGUGAAGGAAAGGUGAAAAGCACCCCGGGAGGGGAGUGAAAGAGAACCUGAAACCCUGUGCUUACAAGCACUUAGAGCACGUCAAAGUGUGAUAAGGUACCUAUUGUAGAAUGGUCCGGCGAGUUAUUGUAUGCAGCGAGGUUAAGUAGUUCAGCUACGGAGCCGAAGUGAGAGCGAGUGUUAACAGCACGUUCAGUUGCAUGCAAUAGACCCGAAACCGGGUGACCUAUCCAUGUCCAGGAUGAAGUGAGGGUAAAACCUCAUGGAGGUCCGAACCCACUCCCGUUGAAAUGGUAGGGGAUGAGGUGUGGAUAGCGGAGAAAUUCCAAUCGAACCCGGAUAUAGCUGGUUCUCCCCGAAAUAGUUUUAGGACUAGCCUCGUGAUCAAGAUUAUCGGAGGUAAAGCACUGAAUGGCCUAGGGGUCGAGAGAUUACCGAAGCCUAUCAAACUCUGAAUGCCGAAUAAUCAUGCACGGGAGUCAGACUGUGUGAGAUAAGUUUCAUAGUCGAAAGGGAAACAGCCCAGACCUACAGCUAAGGUCCCAAAGUACGUUUAAGUGGAAAACGAUGUGAAAUUGCGUAGACAACCAGGAUGUUGGCUUAGAAGCAGCCAUACAUUAAAAGAGUGCGUAAUAGCUCACUGGUCGAGUGACUUUGCGCGGAAAAUUUAACGGGGCUAAAACGUACACCGAAGCUUAGGCUUGCAACUAUGUUGCAGGGGUAGGGGAGCGUUGAAUGAGGGGUGAAGUCGUAGCGAAAGCGACGGUGGACUUCAUUCAAGUGAGAAUGCCGGAAUGAGUAGCGAGAAUUAUGUGAGAAUCAUAAUGGCCGAAAGCCUAAGGUUUUUGGAGGAAGGUUCGUCCGCUCCAAGUAAGUCGGAAGCUAAGGUGAGGCUGAAAAGCGUAGCCGAUGCACAAACGGUUGAAAUUCCGUUACCACAGAAAGAUUUAAACUAAGGGACACUUUUGAAGAGCUGAUGCCGGGUGUUGGUUACCCCGGUCGUAAGGGAACGAAAUUAAGUAGUGAAGUCAGCGUGGAUGAAGGCGAGAAAAGCUUAGUGUAUAUCUUAUGUGUCCGUACCGCAAACCGACACAGGUAGGUAGGAAGAGAAUUCUAAGGCCAACGGGAGAAGGGUAGUUAAGGAACUCGGCAAAAUGUCCCCGUAACUUCGGAAUAAGGGGAGGUUUCUACGGAAACCCGCAGAGAAUAGUCCCAGGCAACUGUUUAUCAAAAACACAGCUCUAUGCUAAAUCGAAAGAUGACGUAUAUGGGGUGACGCCUGCCCGGUGCCGGAAGGUUAAGAGGAGGAGUGAGAGCCCUGAAUCGAAGCCCCGGUAAACGGCGGCCGUAACUAUAACGGUCCUAAGGUAGCGAAAUUCCUUGUCAGGUAAGUUCUGACCCGCACGAAUGGCGUAAUGAUCUGGGAGCUGUCUCGACUGCCCGCCCGGCGAAAUUGUAGUACCGGUGAAGAUGCCGGUUACCCGCGACUAGAC